This 371-nucleotide ribosomal RNA is filed under the name Halobacillus litoralis. Its description in RNAcentral is "partial 23S ribosomal RNA". It matches the Rfam family "Bacterial large subunit ribosomal RNA", at positions 1 to 364 of the family's 2925-position model. The record is from RNAcentral. Lineage: Bacteria; Bacillati; Bacillota; Bacilli; Caryophanales; Bacillaceae.
AUAGUUAAGUGAAUAAGGGCGCACGGUGGAUGCCUUGGUACUAGGAGCCGAUGAAGGACGGGACUAACACCGAUAUGCUCCGGCGAGCCGUAAGUAGGCUUUGAUCCGGAGAUUUCCGAAUGGGGAAACCCACUGUUCGUAAUGGAACAGUAUCCUAUACUGAAUACAUAGGUAUAGGCAGGCACACCCGGGGAACUGAAACAUCUAAGUACCCGGAGGAAGAGAAAGCAAAUGCGAUUUCCCAAGUAGCGGCGAGCGAAACGGAAUCAGCCCAAACCAGAAAGCUUGCUUUCUGGGGUUGUAGGACACUCCAUUGGAGUUACCAAAGAGGAAGAUAGGCGAAUCGAUCUGGAAAGGUCAGCCAGAGCAGG